GCUCUCCAUUUUCUGGUUUCCUCAUCUGGGUUUUCCUCCGCCUUCAUCGUUGUGCGCCCUGUUUUCUAUCAAUUUCUUUUUUUUGGUUUCACAAAAUUACCUCCGGGCGGACACGUUCUUUGAUUUUUGGAAUAGUUGUUGGCUGUUCUUCUCUGUUUUUGGGUGCGAACCGUAUCGAUUUCGUCUUUUUCGCCGUUUUGUUAACUGAUUUUCGCUCAAUUUUGGGUGAUCUUUGUAUUCAAGUGAUCGUCAGACAAAUCGUAUUCAGUUUGGUUGAAAGAAUUGACGGCUAAGUUACUAAUAAAGCAAAGACUGAGCCAUGGUGAGACACAAGCUUUCGUUACACCCUGCAAACUGGUGGUAGUCUUGGUUUAGCAAUUGGCAGCGAGAUUACACUCCUCACUACGUUGUAAAUUCGACUGACUCAUUCUAUAAGAAUUGUUUCAGUUUGUGUUUACGGUUUCCAUUCAAUGUAAUCCCUCUUCUCAGUUUCUUUUCAGAAUUGAUUUCUAUUCCAAUUUCGCAAUGUUUAUAUUUUUCACCAUGUUGGAAGUUUAAGGGUCUUUUUAGUAAUGAAUCUUCUUCCUUAUAGUUUGAAAACCCGCAACACCGCGCGGGCACUCUUGCUAG
This 630-nucleotide small RNA is filed under the name Malus domestica (apple). RNAcentral describes it as "sRNA MD03G0119400". The record is from RNAcentral. Lineage: Eukaryota; Viridiplantae; Streptophyta; Magnoliopsida; Rosales; Rosaceae.